GAUGAACGCUGGCGGCGUGCCUAAUACAUGCAAGUCGAGCGAACAGACGAGGAGCUUGUUCCUUUGACGUUAGCGGCGGACGGGUGAGUAACACGUGGGUAACCUACCUAUAAGACUGGGAUAACUUCGGGAAACCGGCGCUAAUCCCGGAUAAUAUUUCGAACCGCAUGGUUCGAUAGUGAAAGAUGGCUCUGCUAUCACUUAUAGAUGGACCUGCGCCGUAUUAGCUAGUUGGUAAGGUAACGGCUUACCAAGGCAACGAUACGUAGCCGACCUGAGAGGGUGUUCGGCCACCUUGGAGCUGGGACACGGUCCAGACUCCUACGGGAGGCAGCAGUAGGGAAUCGUCCGCAAUGGGCGAAAGCCUGACGGAGCAACGCCGCGUGAGUGAUGAAGGUCUUCGGAUCGUAAAACUCUGUUAUUAGGGAAGAACAAACGUGUAAGUAACUGUGCACGUCUUGACGGUACCUAAUCAGAAAGCCACGGCUAACUACGUG
Molecule: ribosomal RNA, 497 nt
Filed under: uncultured bacterium
Lineage: Bacteria
Description: partial 16S ribosomal RNA
Rfam family: Bacterial small subunit ribosomal RNA
Source: RNAcentral